RNAcentral lists this long non-coding RNA (1009 nucleotides) under Brassica rapa (field mustard). RNAcentral describes it as "long non-coding RNA (BRAP_LNC005680)". Lineage: Eukaryota; Viridiplantae; Streptophyta; Magnoliopsida; Brassicales; Brassicaceae. The record is from RNAcentral.
UCAUCACGGGUCUUUAUUGUCCGAAUCCGGCCCAUCCCACGCCAAGCCUGUACCCGCUCAUAGGGGUGGGCACUUUACCCGAUAUCCGAAGUGGCACCCGAACCCGAUCCGAAAAACCCGAACCGAAAUCCGAACCGAAGUAGCAAAAUAUCCGAACGGGUAUUGAAUAAAGAGAGAUUGGAUACCCGAACCCGAACGGAUAAUACCCGAACCCGAAUGGAUAUCCGAAGCUAUCCGAACAUAUGUAUAAUUAACCUUAUAUUUCUAGUUUAUAUCUCUCAUUUUAUAUAAAAUAUUUAUAUUGAUACUACACAUACUUUAAGUUCAUAUGAUAUACAUACAAUUACGAAAAAAUGAUUUGCUACUCAUUUAAAAUGCAUAUCAAGUUUUUUAUUUCAAAAAUUAACAAAAAGUUACAUCCAAAAUUAAAAAGAAAAUAACUAAGUUAAUGCUUUUUUAGUUUUAAAAUGUUAUGUCCAAAUCUAUUAACCAUUCAAUCUAUUAAAAAUAAAAAAUUAGUUAACCGAAAGUUAUAUUUUUAAAUACAACAAACUUGAAAAAUGAAAAUUUUAAUUUUUUUUUUCAAAAUCUAAAUAUCCGAACCCGAUCCGAAAUAACCGAAUCCGAACUAAAAAUACCCGAACCCGACCCGAAGUAUAAAAAUACCCGAACGGGUUCUAGACCUCUAUACCGAAAUAUCCGAAAAUCCGAAAUACCCGACCCGAACCCGAACGGGUACCCGAACGCCCACCCCUACCCGCUCAAGUCAAGUCCAUUCCUGUGUGGUCCGCAAAAAUUUAGGUCUGAAUCUUGCCUGACCAAACCCAACCGCACCAAGCUUUAUUGAGCCAAGCCUGGGGGCAAGCCUUCAAAUUGCCAUCUCUUCUCUUAUUGUCUUCCAACUUGAAUUGUUUUCUAACUUGUAUAUUCGUUGUAUUGCUCUUUGAUAAACUCCAGUAACUAGAAAACAAAUUUCAGGAAUAUAAGUCGCUAACUCUUUAUUACCCGU